GUGCCAGCCGCCGCGGUAAUACCGGCAGCCCGAGUGAUGGCCGAUCUUAUUGGGCCUAAAGCGUCCGUAGCUGGCCGCACAAGUCCAUCGGGAAAUCCACCUGCUCAACAGGUGGACGUCCGGUGGAAACUGUGUGGCUUGGGACCGGAAGGCGCGACGGGUACGUCCGGGGUAGGAGUGAAAUCCCGUAAUCCUGGACGGACCGCCGAUGGCGAAAGCACGUCGCGAAAACGGAUCCGACAGUGAGGGACGAAAGCUAGGGUCUCGAACCGGAUUAGAUACCCUUGUAGUCC
Molecule: ribosomal RNA, 293 nt
Filed under: uncultured bacterium
Lineage: Bacteria
Description: partial 16S ribosomal RNA
Rfam family: Archaeal small subunit ribosomal RNA
Source: RNAcentral